RNAcentral lists this ribosomal RNA (253 nucleotides) under uncultured bacterium. Its description in RNAcentral is "partial 16S ribosomal RNA". It matches the Rfam family "Bacterial small subunit ribosomal RNA", at positions 524 to 776 of the family's 1533-position model. The record is from RNAcentral.
UACGGAGGGGGCAAGCGUUGUUCGGGUUUACUGGGCGUAAAGGGCGCGUAGGCGGCUUUGUAAGUUACUUGUGAAAUCUCCGGGCUUAACUCGGAGCGGCCAAGUGAUACUGCAGAGCUAGAGUGCAGAAGGGGCAACUGGAAUUCUUGGUGUAGCGGUGAAAUGCGUAGAUAUCAAGAGGAACACCUGAGGCGAAGGCGGGUUGCUGGGCUGACACUGACGCUGAAGCGCGAAAGCGUGGGGAGCAAACAGG